RNAcentral lists this ribosomal RNA (506 nucleotides) under uncultured bacterium. Its description in RNAcentral is "partial 16S ribosomal RNA". It matches the Rfam family "Bacterial small subunit ribosomal RNA", at positions 28 to 523 of the family's 1533-position model. The record is from RNAcentral.
GAUGAACGCUAGCGGCAGGCCUAACACAUGCAAGUCGAGGGGUAACUAGAGUGAUAGCAAUAUUACUUUGGCUAGACCGGCGCACGGGUGCGUAACACGUAUGCAACCUACCUUAUACUGAGGAAUAACUUCGAGAAAUCGGCGCUAAUACCCCAUAACAUUGCGAAGAGGCAUCUCUUUGCAAUUAAAGCUCCGGCGGUAUAAGAUGGGCAUGCGUCCAAUUAGCUAGUUGGUGAGGUAACGGCUCACCAAGGCUACGAUUGGUAGGGGUUCGGAGAGGAUGAUCCCCCACACUGGUACUGAGACACGGACCAGACUCCUACGGGAGGCAGCAGCGAGGAAUAUUGCGCAAUGGACGAAAGUCUGACGCAGCCAUGCCGCGUGCAGGAUGACGGCCCUAUGGGUUGUAAACUGCUUUUGUACGGGAAUAAACCCUUCUACGUGUAGGAGGCUGAAGGUACCGUAAGAAUAAGCACCGGCUAACUCCGUGCCAGCCGCCGCCGUAA